GGGGAUGUGGUUUAGUGGUAUAACGUUCGCUUAGCAUGCGAAAGGUCCGGGGUUCAAUUCCCCGCUUCUCCA
RNAcentral lists this transfer RNA (72 nucleotides) under Aspergillus tanneri. It matches the Rfam family "tRNA". Rfam says of the family: Transfer RNA (tRNA) molecules are approximately 80 nucleotides in length. Their secondary structure includes four short double-helical elements and three loops (D, anti-codon, and T loops). Lineage: Eukaryota; Fungi; Ascomycota; Eurotiomycetes; Eurotiales; Aspergillaceae. The record is from Rfam by way of RNAcentral.